This 506-nucleotide ribosomal RNA is filed under the name uncultured bacterium. RNAcentral describes it as "partial 16S ribosomal RNA". It matches the Rfam family "Bacterial small subunit ribosomal RNA", at positions 28 to 523 of the family's 1533-position model. The record is from RNAcentral.
GAUGAACGCUAGCUACAGGCUUAACACAUGCAAGUCGAGGGGUAACGAGAGGAAAGCUUGCUUUCCUUGUCGACGACCGGCGCACGGGUGAGUAACGCGUAUCCAACCUGCCCCCAACUAGGGAAUAACCUUGCGAAAGUAAGACUAAUACCCUAUAAUUUCCUCAGAUGACAUCUGACGAGGAAUAAAGAUUUAUCAGUUGUGGAUGGGGAUGCGUCUGAUUAGCUUGUUGGCGGGGUAACGGCCCACCAAGGCAACGAUCAGUAGGGGUUCUGAGAGGAAGGUCCCCCACAUUGGAACUGAGACACGGUCCAAACUCCUACGGGAGGCAGCAGUGAGGAAUAUUGGUCAAUGGGCGGAAGCCUGAACCAGCCAAGUAGCGUGCAGGAUGACGGCCCUAUGGGUUGUAAACUGCUUUUAUACAGAAAUAAAGUUAGCCACGUGUGGUUAUUUGUAGGUACUGUAUGAAUAAGGACCGGCUAAUUCCGUGCCAGCAGCCGCCGUAA